CCAGACUCCUACGGGAGGCGGCAGUGGGGAAUAUUGCACAAUGGGGGAAACCCUGAUGCAGCGACGCCGCGUGAAGGAAGAAGUAUUUCGGUAUGUAAACUUCUAUCAGCAGGGAAGAAAAUGACGGUACCUGACUAAGAAGCCCCGGCUAACUACGUGCCAGCAGCCGCGGUAAUACGUAGGGGGCAAGCGUUAUCCGGAUUUACUGGGUGUAAAGGGAGCGUAGACGGUAGAGCAAGUCUGAAGUGAAAGCCCGCGGCUCAACGGCGGGACUGCUUUGGAAACUGCGGCGCUGGAGUACGGGAGGGGCAGGCGGAAUUCCUGGUGUAGCGGUGAAAUGCGUAGAUAUCAGGAGGAACACCGGCGGCGAAGGCGGCCUGCUGGACCGCGACUGACGUUGAGGCUCGAAAGCGUGGGGAGCGAACAGGAUUAGAUACCCUUGUAC
Molecule: ribosomal RNA, 445 nt
Filed under: uncultured bacterium
Lineage: Bacteria
Description: bacterial SSU rRNA
Rfam family: Bacterial small subunit ribosomal RNA
Source: RNAcentral